UACGUAGGGGGCUAGCGUUGUCCGGAAUCAUUGGGCGUAAAGCGCGUGUAGGCGGUCCGGUAAGUCUGCUGUGAAAGUCGAGGGCUCAACCCUCGAAUGCCGGUGGAUACUGUCGGGCUUGAGUACGGGAGAGGCGAGUGGAAUUCCUGGUGUAGCGGUGAAAUGCGCAGAUAUCAGGAGGAACACCGAUUGCGAAGGCAGCUCGCUGGAACGUUACUGACGCUGAGACGCGAAAGCGUGGGGAGCAAACAGG
RNAcentral lists this ribosomal RNA (253 nucleotides) under uncultured bacterium. RNAcentral's name for it is "partial 16S ribosomal RNA". It matches the Rfam family "Bacterial small subunit ribosomal RNA", at positions 524 to 776 of the family's 1533-position model. The record is from RNAcentral.